RNAcentral lists this ribosomal RNA (408 nucleotides) under uncultured Anaerolineaceae bacterium. Its description in RNAcentral is "bacterial SSU rRNA". It matches the Rfam family "Bacterial small subunit ribosomal RNA", at positions 959 to 1382 of the family's 1533-position model. Lineage: Bacteria; Bacillati; Chloroflexota; Anaerolineae; Anaerolineales; Anaerolineaceae. The record is from RNAcentral.
ACACGAAGAACCUUACCUGGGUUUGACAUAUAGGUUGUAGGGAACUGAAAAGGACCGACCCUUCGGGGAGCCUAUACAGGUGUUGCAUGGCUGUCGUCAGCUCGUGUCGUGAGAUGUUCGGUUAAGUCCGCUAACGAGCGCAACCCUCGUCGUAUGUUAUAUGUGUCAUACGAGACUGCCGGUAAAAAGCCGGAGGAAGGUGAGGAUGAUGUCAAGUCAGCAUGACCUUUAUAUCCAGGGCUACACACACGCUACAAUGGUCUGUACAAUGGGUAGCCAAGCCGCGAGGCGGAGCCAAUCCUGAAAGCAGGCCUCAGUUCAGAUUGCAGUCUGCAACUCGACUGCAUGAAGUCGGAAUCGCUAGUAAUCGCGGAUCAGCAUGUCGCGGUGAAUACGUUCCCGGGCCUU